ACGUGGGUAACCUGCCCUAUAGACUGGGAUAACUUCGGGAAACCGGAGCUAAUACCGGAUAAUACUUCGAAACACAUGUUUUGAAGUUGAAAGAUGGUUUCGGCUAUCACUAUAAGAUGGACCCGCGGCGCAUUAGCUAGUUGGUGAGGUAACGGCUCACCAAGGCCACGAUGCGUAGCCGACCUGAGAGGGUGAUCGGCCACACUGGGACUGAGACACGGCCCAGACUCCUACGGGAGGCAGCAGUAGGGAAUCUUCCACAAUGGACGAAAGUCUGAUGGAGCAACGCCGCGUGAGUGAAGAAGGAUUUCGGUUCGUAAAACUCUGUUGCAAGGGAAGAACAAGUAGCGUAGUAACUGGCGCUACCUUGACGGUACCUUGUUAGAAAGCCACGGCUAACUACGUGCCA
RNAcentral lists this ribosomal RNA (409 nucleotides) under uncultured bacterium. RNAcentral describes it as "bacterial SSU rRNA". It matches the Rfam family "Bacterial small subunit ribosomal RNA", at positions 115 to 510 of the family's 1533-position model. The record is from RNAcentral.